RNAcentral lists this ribosomal RNA (570 nucleotides) under uncultured bacterium. Its description in RNAcentral is "partial 16S ribosomal RNA". It matches the Rfam family "Bacterial small subunit ribosomal RNA", at positions 355 to 914 of the family's 1533-position model. The record is from RNAcentral.
UGGGGAAUAUUGCACAAUGGGCGCAAGCCUGAUGCAGCCAUGCCGCGUGUGUGAAGAAGGCCUUCGGGUUGUAAAGCACUUUCAGCGAGGAGGAAGGUGGUGAGCUUAAUACGCUCAUCAAUUGACGUUACUCGCAGAAGAAGCACCGGCUAACUCCGUGCCAGCAGCCGCGGUAAUACGGAGGGUGCAAGCGUUAAUCGGAAUUACUGGGCGUAAAGCGCACGCAGGCGGUUUGUUAAGUCAGAUGUGAAAUCCCCGGGCUCAACCUGGGAACUGCAUUUGAAACUGGCAAGCUAGAGUCUCGUAGAGGGGGGUAGAAUUCCAGGUGUAGCGGUGAAAUGCGUAGAGAUCUGGAGGAAUACCGGUGGCGAAGGCGGCCCCCUGGACGAAGACUGACGCUCAGGUGCGAAAGCGUGGGGCAGCAAACAGGAUUAGAUACCCUGGUAGUCCAGCGCUGUAAAACGAUGUCGAUUUGGAGGUUGUGCCCUUGAGGCGUGGCUUCCGGAGCUAACGCGUUAAAUCGACCGCCUGGGGAGUACGGCCGCAAGGUUAAAACUUAAAGGAAUUGAC